RNAcentral lists this ribosomal RNA (487 nucleotides) under Paradiplectanum blairense. Its description in RNAcentral is "bacterial SSU rRNA". It matches the Rfam family "Eukaryotic small subunit ribosomal RNA", at positions 1363 to 1831 of the family's 1831-position model. The record is from RNAcentral. Lineage: Eukaryota; Metazoa; Platyhelminthes; Monogenea; Dactylogyridea; Diplectanidae.
CAUUUAUGUGGAUUCCUGCGUGAUUGCUUCGGUUUUCGCGUGGGGCCACGUAAGCAGGUGCUACUUCUUAGAGGGACUGGUGUCCUACAAGGCGCACGAGAAAGAGCAAUAACAGGUCUGUGAUGCCCUAAGAUGUUCGGGGCCGCACGCGUGCUACAAUGACGAUGCUAGCGAGUUUGAUAUUCUGGCUCGGAAGGGUCGGGCAAACUUUUCAAUCAUCGUCGUGACUGGGAUUGGGGUUUGUAAUUAUCCCCCAUGAACCAGGAAUUCCUAGUAAGUACAAGUCAUAAGCUUGUGCUGAUUACGUCCCUGCCCUUUGUACACACCGCCCGUCGCUACUACCGAUUGAACGGUUUAGCAAGGUCAUUGGAUUGGCCCUUAUUCGGCCUUGGUCGUUGAGGGCUGAGAAGAUGACCGAACUUGAUCGUUUAGAGGAAGUACAAGUCGUAACAAGGUUUCCGUAGGUGAACCUGCGGAAGGAUCACUA